GAUGAACGCUGGCGGCGUGCUUAACACAUGCAAGUCGAACGGGAAUUACUUUCUUGAUACUUCGGUCGAUUUAAUUUAAUUCUAGUGGCGGACGGGUGAGUAACGCGUGGGUAACCUGCCUUAUACAGGGCGAUAACAGUCAGAAAUGGAAGCUAUUACCGCAUAAGGGUAAAGGGCUGCAGGGCUCAGUGUGUAAAACUUCGGUGGCUGAAGAAGGACCCGCGUUGGAUUAGCUGGUUGGUGGGGUAACGGCCCACCAAGGCGACGAUCCAUAGCCGGCCUGAGAGGGUGAACGGCCACAUUGGGACUGAGACACGGCCCAGACUCCUACGGGAGGCAGCAGUGGGGAAUAUUGCACAAUGGGGGAAAGCCUGAUGCAGCGACGCCGCGUGAAUGAAGAAGUAUCUCGGUAUGUAAACCUCUAUCAGCAGGGAAGAUAGUGACGGUACCGGACUAAGAAGCCCCGGCUAACUACGUG
RNAcentral lists this ribosomal RNA (478 nucleotides) under uncultured bacterium. Its description in RNAcentral is "partial 16S ribosomal RNA". It matches the Rfam family "Bacterial small subunit ribosomal RNA", at positions 28 to 507 of the family's 1533-position model. The record is from RNAcentral.